GAUGAACGCUGGCGGCGUGCUUAACACAUGCAAGUCGAACGAAGCACUUUAUUUGAUUUCCUUCGGGACUGAUUAUUUUGUGACUGAGUGGCGGACGGGUGAGUAACGCGUGGGUAACCUGCCUUGUACAGGGGGAUAACAGUUGGAAACGGCUGCUAAUACCGCAUAAGCGCACAGCAUCGCAUGAUGCAGUGUGAAAAACUCCGGUGGUAUAAGAUGGACCCGCGUUGGAUUAGCUAGUUGGUGAGGUAACGGCCCACCAAGGCGACGAUCCAUAGCCGACCUGAGAGGGUGACCGGCCACAUUGGGACUGAGACACGGCCCAAACUCCUACGGGAGGCAGCAGUGGGGAAUAUUGCACAAUGGGCGAAAGCCUGAUGCAGCGACGCCGCGUGAGUGAAGAAGUAUUUCGGUAUGUAAAGCUCUAUCAGCGGGGAAGAUAAUGACGGUACCUGACGAAGAAGCACCGGCUAAAUACGUG
RNAcentral lists this ribosomal RNA (481 nucleotides) under uncultured bacterium. Its description in RNAcentral is "partial 16S ribosomal RNA". It matches the Rfam family "Bacterial small subunit ribosomal RNA", at positions 28 to 507 of the family's 1533-position model. The record is from RNAcentral.